This 330-nucleotide ribosomal RNA is filed under the name Praon barbatum. RNAcentral describes it as "partial 16S ribosomal RNA". The record is from RNAcentral. Lineage: Eukaryota; Metazoa; Arthropoda; Insecta; Hymenoptera; Braconidae.
UAAGUCCAAUCUGCCCAAUGAUUUUAUUUAAUGGCUGCAGUAUUUAUAACUGUACAAAGGUAGCAUAAUAAUUAGUUUUUUAAUUGAAAACUAGAAUGAAAGAUUAAAUGAAAUAUAUACUAUAUAAAUAAAAUUAAAAAUUAAAAUUAAAAUUUAAGUAAAAAUUCUUAAAUUAAUUUAAAAGACGAGAAGACCCUAUAGAAUUUUAUUUUUAAUUGUUUUAAAAUUUAUUAAUAAAUUUAAAUAAAUAAUUAAAAAUUUAAUUGGGGUAAUUAUAAAAUUUAAUUAAUUUUUAUUUUUUAAACAUAAAUUAAUGAAUUUUUAAUUUUA